GCAGGCAUGUGGUCUGGCUUUACCGUGGAGUCCACAGUCUAUCGGAUUUACGCACGAGGAAGACUGGGACAAAAAGCCCCGGUUGCUAGCAGCAGUGCAGGGGACUCAGGGCGACGGCAUGUGAUUGCUACAGACAGCUUUAACGAGAGGAACUGAGGCUGCCAGAGCCACUAGAAGCAGAUGGCCAGGAACCACUUUAAGAUGGAAGACAAUCGCUGCUUUGUCCGAAGCAACUCUGCUUUUCCUGACUGCCUGAGCCUUAGAGGACAAUUAGAAAGAUCUCCUGAAAUAUCCAACUUUGAGGAUGGAAAUGAAUACUUCCAAGACAUACAUAUGCAAUACACACUAUUUCUCAAGGCAUCCAGCAGCUCUCAAAGACCCAUUGCCCCGUCCCGUGUCCAGGCAAAGGAAGUGACUAACACUUGUCAUCCAAUGACAAAUUAAUUCUUGUAACAUCGGGAGUGCGCUGAAUCACGCCCAGCUUGUGGAGCCACCGUGGUGUUCGCUAACAGAUUGACGCACACUGUGAGAUCACUGGGCUCUCAGAGCUGCCCGGCGUGCGCGGGCCGGGCCUGGGAAG
Molecule: long non-coding RNA, 580 nt
Organism: Alosa sapidissima (American shad)
Lineage: Eukaryota; Metazoa; Chordata; Actinopteri; Clupeiformes; Clupeidae
Exons: 4
Source: RefSeq, a predicted model, not a curated record